GACGAACGCUGGCGGCGUGGAUUAGGCAUGCAAGUCGAACGGUAUAAACCUUUCGGGGUUUAGAGAGUGGCGAACGGGUGAGUAACACGUAGGUAAUCUACCCUCAAAACGGGGACAGCCCAGGGAAACUUGGGCUAAUACCGGAUGCGUGCAAGCAAUGUUUUGGCUGUUAAUGCUAUUCACGGAAGUGAGUAGUGUUAAUGGUUGAGAGCAUUAUUUGCAUAAAAGGUGGCAUAUGCUGCCGUUUGAGGAUGAGCCUGCGUCCCAUUAGUUAGUUGGUGAGGUAAUGGCUUACCAAGGCGAUGAUAGGUAGGCGGCCUUAACGGGUGGUCGCCCACACUGGGAUUGAGAGACGGCCCAGACUCCUACGGGAGGCAGCAGUCGAGAAUAGUCUACAAUGGACGGAAGUCUGAUAGUGCGACGCCGCGUGAACGAAGAAUCCCUUCGGGGUGUAAAGUUCUUUUAUACGUGAGCAGUGCCCUUUAUAUGAAUAGUAUAGAGGGAGGGAUUUAAGCGUAUGAAUAAGCAACGGCUAACUCCGUGCCAGCAGCCGCGGUAACACGGGGGUUGCAAGCGUUGUCCGGAAUUACUAGGCGUAAAGUGCAGGUAGGCGGAUAGAUAAGUUUAAGGUUAAAGGCUACGGCUUACCCGUAGUAAGGUGUUAGAUACUGUUUAUCUGGAAUGCGGUUGAGGGAGACAGAAUUCCUGGUGUAGCGGUGGAAUGCGCAGAGAUCAGGAGGAAUACCGAAGGCGAAGGCAGUCUUCUAAGCCGAUAUUGACGCUAAACUGCGAAGGUGUGGGGAUCAAACAGGAUUAGAUACCCUGGUAGUCCACACAGUAAACGAUAAUCACUAGGUGUUGGGUUCGUAUAGGACUCGGUGCCGGAGCUAACGCGAUAAGUGAUUCGCCUGGGGAGUACGAUCGCAAGGUUGAAACUCAA
Molecule: ribosomal RNA, 940 nt
Filed under: bacterium enrichment culture
Lineage: Bacteria
Description: bacterial SSU rRNA
Rfam family: Bacterial small subunit ribosomal RNA
Source: RNAcentral